CCCUUAGAUGUCCUGGGCCGCACGCGCGCUACACUGACAUGUUCAACAAGCCUCCUAGUUCGACAGGAUUUGGGAAAUCUUUGAACGCAUGUCGUGAUAGGGAUAGAUCAUUGCAAUUAUUGAUCUUGAACGAGGAAUUCCUAGUAAACGCGAGUCAUCAGCUCGCAUUGAUUACGUCCCUGCCCUUUGUACACACCGCCCGUCGCACCUACCGAUUGAAUGUUUCGGUGAAGAUUCCGGAUGGGACUUUUUUGAUUUAUUUCAAUUUUGUCUUAAAAGCUAUCUAAACCUCAACAUUUAGAGGAAGGUGAAGUCGUAACA
Molecule: ribosomal RNA, 321 nt
Filed under: uncultured eukaryote
Lineage: Eukaryota
Description: partial 18S ribosomal RNA
Rfam family: Eukaryotic small subunit ribosomal RNA
Source: RNAcentral